This 80-nucleotide small nucleolar RNA is filed under the name Macleaya cordata. RNAcentral describes it as "Small nucleolar RNA R160". It matches the Rfam family "Small nucleolar RNA R160". From Rfam's summary of the family: snoR160 is a C/D box small nucleolar RNA, which acts as a methylation guide for 25S ribosomal RNA in plants. snoR160 has been alternatively named snoZ270 in rice. Lineage: Eukaryota; Viridiplantae; Streptophyta; Magnoliopsida; Ranunculales; Papaveraceae. The record is from Rfam by way of RNAcentral.
AGCAAAAUGAUGAGCAGAUAUGCUCUGAAUUUUAUGUGGAAGCCUGUAUAUCUAUUGGUCUUCAAAGUUCUCUGAUUGCU